This 546-nucleotide ribosomal RNA is filed under the name uncultured bacterium. Its description in RNAcentral is "partial 16S ribosomal RNA". It matches the Rfam family "Bacterial small subunit ribosomal RNA", at positions 355 to 914 of the family's 1533-position model. The record is from RNAcentral.
UGGGGAAUAUUGCACAAUGGGCGAAAGCCUGAUGCAGCAACGCCGCGUGAGUGAUGAAGGUCUUCGGAUUGUAAAGCUCUGUCUUUUGGGACGAUAAUGACGGUACCAAAGGAGGAAGCCACGGCUAACUACGUGCCAGCAGCCGCGGUAAUACGUAGGUGGCGAGCGUUGUCCGGAUUUACUGGGCGUAAAGGGUGCGUAGGCGGAUGUUUAAGUGAGAUGUGAAAUACCCGGGCUUAACUUGGGUGCUGCAUUUCAAACUGGAUAUCUAGAGUGCAGGAGAGGAGAAUGGAAUUCCUAGUGUAGCGGUGAAAUGCGUAGAGAUUAGGAAGAACACCAGUGGCGAAGGCGAUUCUCUGGACUGUAACUGACGCUGAGGCACGAAAGCGUGGGUAGCAAACAGGAUUAGAUACCCUGGUAGUCCACGCCGUAAAAUGAUGAGUACUAGGUGUAGGAGGUAUCGACCCCUUCUGUGCCGCAGUAAACACAUUAAGUACUCCGCCUGGGAAGUACGAUCGCAAGAUUAAAACUCUAAAGUGAAUUGAC